CGGGUGCACUGAUCCGGCCGGGCCUUUCCCUCUGUGGAACCCCAUGGCCUUCACUGGCUGUGCGGGGGAAACAGGACUUUUACUGUGAAAAAAUUAGAGUGCUCCAGGCAGGCCUAUGCUCGAAUACAUUAGCAUGGAAUAAUAGAAUAGGACGCGUGGUUCUAUUUUGUUGGUUUCUAGGACCGCCGUAAUGAUUAAUAGGGACAGUCGGGGGCAUCAGUAUUCAAUUGUCAGAGGUGAAAUUCUUGGAUCUAUUGAAGACUAACUACUGCGAAAGCAUUUGCCAAGGAUGUUUUCAUUGAUAAGGAACGAAAGUUAGGGGAUCGAAGACGAUCAGAUACCGUCGUAGUCUUAACUAUAAACUAUGCCGACUAGGGAUCGGACGAUGUUAUUUCUUGACGCGUUCGGCACCUUUCGAGAAAUCAAAGUGCUUGGGCUCCAGGGGGAGUAUGGUCGCAAGGCUGAAACUUAAAGAAAUUGACGGAAGGGCACCACCAGGGGUGGAACCUGCGGCUUAAUUUGACUCAACACGGGGAAACUCACCGGGUCCAGACACAAUGAGGAUUGACAGAUUGAGAGCUCUUUCUUGAUUUUGUGGGUGGUGGUGCAUGGCCGUUCUUAGUUGGUGGAGUGAUUUGUCUGCUUAAUUGCGAUAACGAACGAGACCUUAACCUGCUAAAUAGCCCGUACUGCUCUGGCAGUUCGCCGGCUUCUUAGAGGGACUAUCGG
Molecule: ribosomal RNA, 729 nt
Filed under: uncultured eukaryote
Lineage: Eukaryota
Description: SSU rRNA
Rfam family: Eukaryotic small subunit ribosomal RNA
Source: RNAcentral